Long non-coding RNA from Trifolium pratense (red clover), 759 nucleotides. RefSeq lists it as uncharacterized. NCBI's taxonomy places the organism in Eukaryota, Viridiplantae, Streptophyta, Magnoliopsida, Fabales, Fabaceae. The transcript is spliced from 3 exons. The record is from RefSeq and is a predicted model, not a curated record.
UACUAUAAAAAUGAUCAUACCAUUUUCUAUUUCUACAUGAAAACAAAAACAAAUAUGGCAGAAAUUCUAAAGUUUGUUUGUGUUAUGAUUAUUUUUCUUUUCAUCAUGUGUACCAUUGUAACUGAUGGAAUUGAUUACUGUGAAACUGAUCUCGACUGUCCUAAACCUCCAAAUCUCCCAGAUGAAUUCAGAAUUUGCAGUGAUGGUGUUUGUCUAUUUUUAGGGGUGAUCUACACAUAAAAUCUCGAUCCAAGUCUAAGAGAAGGGUACAAAAGUCUUUUUGGCACAAGGAUUUUAAACUCAAAAUAAAAAAUAAAAAUAAACUUGUUAUAUUUUAUGACUAUUGUUUCUAAUUCCUCCAAGAGGCCAUUGGCCCAAGUGUUGUUUAAGUAUUAUGUGUAGAUGUUGUCUCUCCCAACUCCGUAUUUCUUUUAUAUCUCCCUGAAUUUCCAAUUUUGUCUUUGCAAAUAAAUUCUGGUUUAUAAAAAUCGAAAUUUACUCUGAAUUUGUACUAAAAAAAUUCGGUUUCUGCAAACCGAUGUUUUUUGUAAGGGCAAAAUUGGAAUAUUUGGAGUAUAAAAGAAUCACGGGGGGUCGGAAGAGAAAACAUCUUAUUUGUAUUUCCUCCAAGAGGCCCAUGGCCCAAUUGUUAUUAGAUCCACUAUGGAAACCCUAGCUAUAUAUAUAUAUAUAUAUAUUGUAUUGCAGCCUCACUCUUGAGGUUAUGAAUAAAGUUAUAUUUUAUGUUAUCGGUUUAAA